Molecule: ribosomal RNA, 326 nt
Filed under: bacterium enrichment culture
Lineage: Bacteria
Description: bacterial SSU rRNA
Rfam family: Bacterial small subunit ribosomal RNA
Source: RNAcentral
AACGGUAACAGGCCGCAAGGNGUUGACGAGUGGCNAACGGGUGAGUAAUGCAUCGGAACGUGCCCAGUCGUGGGGGAUAACUGCUCGAAAGAGCAGCUAAUACCGCAUACGAUCUAUGGAUGAAAGCGGGGGACCGUAAGGNCUCGCGCGAUUGGAGCGGCCGAUGUCAGAUUAGGUAGUUGGUGGGGUAAAGGCUCACCAAGCCAACGAUCUGUAGCUGGUCUGAGAGGACGACCAGCCACACUGGGACUGAGACACGGCCCAGACUCCUACGGGAGGCAGCAGUGGGGAAUUUUGGACAAUGGGGGCAACCCUGAUCCAGCAAU